UACGUAGGGUGCGAGCGUUAAUCGGAAUUACUGGGCGUAAAGGGUGCGUAGGCGGCGGGGCAAGUCAGGUGUGAAAUCUCGGGGCUCAACCCCGAAACUGCACUUGAUACUGCCUUGCUCGAGUACUGGAGAGGAGACUGGAAUUUACGGUGUAGCAGUGAAAUGCGUAGAUAUCGUAAGGAAGACCAGUGGCGAAGGCGAGUCUCUGGACAGUUACUGACGCUGAGGCACGAAGGCCAGGGGAGCAAACGGG
Molecule: ribosomal RNA, 253 nt
Filed under: uncultured bacterium
Lineage: Bacteria
Description: partial 16S ribosomal RNA
Rfam family: Bacterial small subunit ribosomal RNA
Source: RNAcentral